UACGUAGGUGGCGAGCGUUGUCCGGAUUUACUGGGCGUAAAGAGCGCGCAGGCGGUCGUGCAAGUCGCGUGGGAAAGCCCCCGGCUCAACUGGGGAGGGUCACGCGAUACUGCUCGACUUGAAGGCAGGAGAGGGAAGUGGAAUUCCCGGUGUAGUGGUGAAAUGCGUAGAUAUCGGGAGGAACACCAGUGGCGAAGGCGACUUCCUGGCCUGUUCUUGACGCUGAGGCGCGAAAGCUAGGGUAGCAAACGGG
This 253-nucleotide ribosomal RNA is filed under the name uncultured bacterium. RNAcentral describes it as "partial 16S ribosomal RNA". It matches the Rfam family "Bacterial small subunit ribosomal RNA", at positions 524 to 776 of the family's 1533-position model. The record is from RNAcentral.